Molecule: ribosomal RNA, 384 nt
Filed under: Herbaspirillum sp. AG30
Lineage: Bacteria; Pseudomonadati; Pseudomonadota; Betaproteobacteria; Burkholderiales; Oxalobacteraceae
Description: bacterial SSU rRNA
Rfam family: Bacterial small subunit ribosomal RNA
Source: RNAcentral
ACCUUACCUACCCUUGACAUGGAUGGAAUCCUGAAGAGAUUUGGGAGUGCUCGAAAGAGAACCAUCACACAGGUGCUGCAUGGCUGUCGUCAGCUCGUGUCGUGAGAUGUUGGGUUAAGUCCCGCAACGAGCGCAACCCUUGUCAUUAGUUGCUACGAAAGGGCACUCUAAUGAGACUGCCGGUGACAAACCGGAGGAAGGUGGGGAUGACGUCAAGUCCUCAUGGCCCUUAUGGGUAGGGCUUCACACGUCAUACAAUGGUACAUACAGAGGGCCGCCAACCCGCGAGGGGGAGCUAAUCCCAGAAAGUGUAUCGUAGUCCGGAUUGGAGUCUGCAACUCGACUCCAUGAAGUUGGAAUCGCUAGUAAUCGCGGAUCAGCAUG